AGCUGAAAACAGAGAGGCAACCUUGUUUCCUGUAAGUCAACAACAAUAGUAACAACAUUGUUAUUCAUUGUGUAGUGGGUGCUGCCUUGAGUUCUUUUGCUAAUUAUCCUAAUAGUCUCAUCAACUCUAUGACCAUGAUUUAUAGAUGAUGAGACUGAGGUGCAGCCAGGAUGUGGCUGAGUGGCACCAGGCUUUCCUGUAGCACCCAAUAUGCUGUCCUGCCAAUUGGUGUGGGACAGCGUCCAGGCCAGGGGCUCUCAAAGUGCCUGCUGCUGGAGUCACUCAUAGGGUAUUAAAAGCUCUCCAUGUCUAGGUAUCCCUCUGCCUCCUCCCCUUGUGUUUUUAUUUACUUGGUCCAGUGUUUCAGGGGAAGGUGCUAUGCAUUUAGGAUUGAGAACCUUUGAACUCGAGCAGUGGUUCUUAAAAUUUGGUCCCGAGAACAGCAUCGUCACCUGGUCAUUUGAUAGAAGUAGACCUUUUUAGUAGCAUUAAGUAUAUUCACAUUGUGAAACAGAGCUCCAGAACGUUCUCACCUUGCACACCUGAAACUCUGUACCCAUUAAACAGUUCCCCCUUCUCCACCCCUGGUGACCACCAUUUUACUUUGGUUUCUGUGAAUUUGACUGCUUUCAGGACCUCAUCUGAGUAGAACUGCAGGUGAUUCUUAAGGACACUCAAGCUUGAGAGCCCCUGAGCUCCACAAUUUGAUUGGGUGUAUCUCCCUCCAGGCUCCUGCCCACAUCAUUAAUUAUCAGCCAUACUGUAAAUGUCACACAUACCUUGUGCAUGCCUCGCCUUUCCUAGUUCUGCUUCUGCCGGCUUGUUCUGUGUGACCCUCAUCAAGUUACCUAACUUCCCCGAGGUGGUGUCUUAUCCUUAUAAAGGAGGUAACCUAAUUUAUAGAGUUUGGUAGAAGUGAAAUGAUACACAUGUGAAAAUACAUGGGAAAGAAUUUUAUAAGCUGUCAGGUGGCAUACUAAUGAAAUAUUAAGUAUAGAAGUAUCUUUUUUUUUUUUUUUCUUUUUUCUUUGACUGGGCCUGUGACAUGCGGAAGUUCCCAGGCCAGAGAUUGAACCCGUGCCACAGCAGUGACAAUACUGAAUCCUUAACUGCUAGGCCACUGGGCAACUUCUAGAAGUAUCUUUUUUAAGUUUAGUUUUUGCUUUUAUUGAAGUUGUACAAGCUUGAUUUUUAAAGAAUUAUAUCCCCUUUAUGCUGUUGCUUCCUGCUCCCCCUACCCCAGUUUCUUUUGGGCCAUGUCUGUGGCAUAAGGAAGUUCCCAGGCUAGUGGUCUAAUUGGAGCUGCAGCUGCCAGCCUGCACCACAGCCACAGCAAUACCAGAUCUGAGCCACGCCUGCAAUUUAUGCCGUGCCUCAUGGCAGUACUGGAUCCUUAACCCACUGAGUGAGGCUAGGGAUUGAACCCACAUCCUCAUGGAUACCAUUCAGGUUUAUUACCCCUGAGUCACAGCAGGAAUGCUCCACUUUCUUGUUUGGUGUUUUAUCUUAUACUGUUUAAACAGGAUUCGCAGAUACACUAUAUGGUAUAGUUUGAUUUCUUUAACUUUCCUGCAUACAGAUUUUUCUUGGAUUUAAUCAUUGUCUUGUUUUAAAGAAUUUUUCUGCACUUAUCGCUGAUUUAGCCACAAGCAGCCUUCCAUGUGGAUCUCCUCUCAACAUCUUAGGUAUUUAAUCAAUUGUAUCUUCUUGAUCACACCUCACCUGGAAUCCUAGGCUCUGCCCCAGUGUAGCCUACUUCCUCUCUAGGCCUGGCUGCACCACAUUUUGAGAUGGACUCUUCCUUCAGUAUCACCAUGGGGGUUUAUCUUAUCUUGCUUCUGUAUGGGCUUCCUUGUUUCCCUGCAGUCCAUAUUCUCUUCUUUCUUGGUGUAUUCCCUUAUUUUGACAGGCCGUGUGAUCUGGAACCUUCCUAACCAAUUACACAGGAGUUAGGUAAGACUUGCAGUUGUUUUGUGUCUGAGAGCAUCACAUUCAUAUUUAAUGUACCGCCUGACUGGUGUGGAGUUCCAGACUGAAGGUCUCUGAAGCUCGGAGUAGUGAAGGAUUUGCUCCCUGCGAUCUGCCACUUGUCCUGUGACUGUGAUCUUUUCCGUUGUUGGUGGUGAGAUGUCUAAGACCUCUGAGCCCCCAGUCCUUGGCAGGUGACUGACUUUCCCACUUUUUCUCUCAGACACCUAGUUCUUCUCUUUCUCUUCAGUCUGGUGAAAUGUCAUGGUAACAUUCCUAGGUGAGGAGGGUCUGUUUUUAUUUCUUGUGCUGAGAUCGAAAUGGGCAUUUUCAGGCUGAAAACUCACCUUUUUCCUUUUUAAGGAAUAUUCUUGAAGUCUGUCAAAAAAAUUGCCUUUCCCCCCUCUUUUCCUCCGUUCUUUCCUUCGAAAUUCCUAUUAGAUGUUGGUAUACUUAUCCUGUAACUGUGGUCUUUUCACCUGUUUUGCACAUGUGUUUUUAAGCUGUUUUCUUAGAAUAUUUCCUCAGCUUUACUUUCUAAUCGUUCUAUUGAAUUUUUUAUGUUUGUUAUCAUGUUUUUAUUUUUUUGGUUUGUUGUUCUCUGAUUGUUUCUCUUUUCUAGACUGGUUAUUUUUAAGAUUAUUUUCUUUUAGGUUCUGGGGAGAUUAAUUGUGUUUUGUUUUUUCUUUGUGAUGCUUUCUUUUUCUGCAUGAUUUUUGUUAGGUGGCAUUUUUUCCUGUUUGUUUCUGUCUUUCAUGUUAGGUAUUUUAAGUGUCUAAUGAUCUUUGAGUGUCGGUUCAUGUGUAAGAAUGGGGCCUCACAAACUGUAAGAUACGACUUCUUUGGGUCUACUAAAUCAAUUUCCAUUAUCAAUUUGGUUUCCAGCUUUAAAAAGUUUAAAUUUUGGAGUUCCCAUCAAGGCUCAGUGGUAACAAACCCGAUUGCUCUCCAUGAGGAUAUGGGUUUGAUCCUGGCCUCGCUCAGUGGGUUAGGGAUCCGGCAUUGCUGUGAGCUGUGAUGUAGGUCACAGAUGUGGCUUGGAUCUGGUGUUGCUGUGGCUGUGGUGUAGGCCAGCAGCUGCAACUCCGAUUUGACCCCUAGCCUGGGAACUUCCAUAUGCUGUGGGUGCGGCCCUAAAAAAAAAAAAAGUUUAUGAGUUCCCAUCGCGGCUCAGUGGUCAUGAACCCGACUAGUAUCCAUGAGGACACAGGUUCGAUCCCUGGCCUUGCUCAGUGUGUUAAGGAUCUGGUGUUGCCAUAAGCUGUUGUGUAGCUCAAAGAUGUGGCUCAUCUCAGAUCCUGCAUUGCUGUGACUGUGGUUGUGCUCUGAUUUGACCCCUAGCCUGGGAACCUCCAUAUGCCACGGGUGUGGCCCUAAAUAGACAAAAGACCAAAAAAAAAAGUUUAAAAUUUUAAUAACUCUUGUUAUCUUUGUCCUUGUGGAUUUAUGUCUUUAAAAAGCAAUAAUUGUUGUAUUGGGGUUUUAGGAGGGAGAGGAAGCAAAUAUGUAUGUCUAUCCACUGUCUUUAACUGGAAGUCAGUGUAGAAGUC
Molecule: long non-coding RNA, 3518 nt
Filed under: Sus scrofa (pig)
Lineage: Eukaryota; Metazoa; Chordata; Mammalia; Artiodactyla; Suidae
Description: lncRNA (ENSSSCG00000055373.1)
Source: RNAcentral